This 116-nucleotide ribosomal RNA is filed under the name Sinocyclocheilus grahami. The record is from RNAcentral. Lineage: Eukaryota; Metazoa; Chordata; Actinopteri; Cypriniformes; Cyprinidae.
AUCGGCAGCCAUAUCACCCUGUAGCCCAAGACUGGUUGCCCACUGAAGCUAAGCAGGGUUGAGCUGGUCAGUACCUGGAUGGGAGACCUCCUGGGGAAACUAGGUUGCUGCUGGAA